This 415-nucleotide ribosomal RNA is filed under the name uncultured eukaryote. Its description in RNAcentral is "bacterial SSU rRNA". It matches the Rfam family "Eukaryotic small subunit ribosomal RNA", at positions 398 to 813 of the family's 1831-position model. The record is from RNAcentral.
GAGAAACGGCUACCACUUCCAAGGAAGGCAGCAGGCGCGCAACUUACCCUAAUCUCGAUUCGAGGAGGUAGUGACAAGAAAUACCGAUGCGGGACCCUACGGGUGCCGCGUUCGGAAUGAGUACGAUUCGAACCACCUAACGAGGAACGAUCGGAGGGCAAGUCUGGUGCCAGCAGCCGCGGUAAUUCCAGCUCCAAUAGCGUACGUUAAAGUUGCUGCAGUUAAAAAGCUCGUAGUUGAACGUUCGGGUUCCGCGGGACGGGGCCGCCCCGCGAGGGACGGCGCCGCCCCGGGGCUCGUGAUAUCUCAUCUCGCCGCCCGUCGCGAGGCGGACGGAGGGAUGGAUGAGGUUACCUGGAAAAAAAUCGGGGCGAUCUAGGCGGGCGAACCUCGCCAACGAACGAUCGGACAUGGG